UACGUAGGGCGCAAGCGUUGUCCGGAAUCAUUGGGCGUAAAGAGCUCGUAGGCGGCCUGUUGCGUCCGCUGUGAAAUCCCGGGGCUUAACCCCUGGCGUGCAGUGGAUACGGGCAGACUAGAGUGCGGUAGGGGAGACUGGAAUUCCUGGUGUAGCGGUGAAAUGCGCAGAUAUCAGGAGGAACACCGGUGGCGAAGGCGGGUCUCUGGCCGUAACUGACGCUGAGGAGCGAAAGCGUGGGGAGCGAACAGG
This 252-nucleotide ribosomal RNA is filed under the name uncultured bacterium. RNAcentral describes it as "partial 16S ribosomal RNA". It matches the Rfam family "Bacterial small subunit ribosomal RNA", at positions 524 to 776 of the family's 1533-position model. The record is from RNAcentral.